Molecule: transfer RNA, 72 nt
Filed under: Prevotella sp.
Lineage: Bacteria; Pseudomonadati; Bacteroidota; Bacteroidia; Bacteroidales; Prevotellaceae
Also listed under: 3 other names
Description: tRNA-Met
Rfam family: tRNA
About the family: Transfer RNA (tRNA) molecules are approximately 80 nucleotides in length. Their secondary structure includes four short double-helical elements and three loops (D, anti-codon, and T loops).
Source: RNAcentral
UGCGGCGUAGAGCAGAGGUAGCUCGCCGGGCUCAUUCCCCGGAGGUCGCGGGUUCGACUCCCGCCGCCGCCA